Molecule: ribosomal RNA, 160 nt
Filed under: uncultured bacterium
Lineage: Bacteria
Description: partial 16S ribosomal RNA
Rfam family: Bacterial small subunit ribosomal RNA
Source: RNAcentral
UGAGGAAUAUUGGUCAAUGGGCGCGAGCCUGAACCAGCCAAGUCGCGUGAGGGAUGACGGCCCCUACGGGUUGUAAACCUCUUUUGUCGGGGAGCAAAUUCCGCCACGUGUGGCGGAGUCGAGAGUACCCGAGAAAAAGCAUCGGCUAACUCCGUGCCAA